This 1070-nucleotide ribosomal RNA is filed under the name Stenotrophomonas sp. LR28. Its description in RNAcentral is "bacterial SSU rRNA". It matches the Rfam family "Bacterial small subunit ribosomal RNA", at positions 65 to 1125 of the family's 1533-position model. The record is from RNAcentral. Lineage: Bacteria; Pseudomonadati; Pseudomonadota; Gammaproteobacteria; Lysobacterales; Lysobacteraceae.
GGCAGCACAGUAAGAGCUUGCUCUUAUGGGUGGCGAGUGGCGGACGGGUGAGGAAUACAUCGGAAUCUACUUUUUCGUGGGGGAUAACGUAGGGAAACUUACGCUAAUACCGCAUACGACCUUCGGGUGAAAGCAGGGGACCUUCGGGCCUUGCGCGAUUGAAUGAGCCGAUGUCGGAUUAGCUAGUUGGCGGGGUAAAGGCCCACCAAGGCGACGAUCCGUAGCUGGUCUGAGAGGAUGAUCAGCCACACUGGAACUGAGACACGGUCCAGACUCCUACGGGAGGCAGCAGUGGGGAAUAUUGGACAAUGGGCGCAAGCCUGAUCCAGCCAUACCGCGUGGGUGAAGAAGGCCUUCGGGUUGUAAAGCCCUUUUGUUGGGAAAGAAAAGCAGCGGGCUAAUACCUGGCUGUUCUGACGGUACCCAAAGAAUAAGCACCGGCUAACUUCGUGCCAGCAGCCGCGGUAAUACGAAGGGUGCAAGCGUUACUCGGAAUUACUGGGCGUAAAGCGUGCGUAGGUGGUUGUUUAAGUCUGUUGUGAAAGCCCUGGGCUCAACCUGGGAACUGCAGUGGAAACUGGAUGACUAGAGUGUGGUAGAGGGUAGCGGAAUUCCUGGUGUAGCAGUGAAAUGCGUAGAGAUCGGGAGGAACAUCCAUGGCGAAGGCAGCUACCUGGACCAACACUGACACUGAGGCACGAAAGCGUGGGGAGCAAACAGGAUUAGAUACCCUGGUAGUCCACGCCCUAAACGAUGCGAACUGGAUGUUGGGUGCACUUUGGCACGCAGUAUCGAAGCUAACGCGUUAAGUUCGCUGCCUUGGGGAGUACGGUCGCAAGACUGAAACUCAAAGGAAUUGACGGGGGCCCGCACAAGCGGUGGAGUAUGUGGUUUAAUUCGAUGCAACGCGAAGAACCUUACCUGGCCUUGACAUGUCGAGAACUUUCCAGAGAUGGAUUGGUGCUUCGGGAACUCGAACACAGGGCUGUAUGGCUGUCGUCUAGCCGUGUCAGGAGAUGUUGGGUUAAGUCCCGCAACGAUCGCAACCCUUGUCCUUAGUUGCCAGCACG